This 578-nucleotide ribosomal RNA is filed under the name uncultured Bacteroidota bacterium. Its description in RNAcentral is "bacterial SSU rRNA". It matches the Rfam family "Bacterial small subunit ribosomal RNA", at positions 338 to 916 of the family's 1533-position model. The record is from RNAcentral. Lineage: Bacteria; Pseudomonadati; Bacteroidota.
CCUACGGGAGGCAGCAGUGAGGAAUAUUGGACAAUGGAGGCAACUCUGAUGCAGCCAUGCCGCGCGCAGGAAGACUGCCUUAUGGGUUGUAAACUGCUUUUAUAUGGGAAGAAUAAGGCCUACGUGUAGGUUGAUGACGGUACCAUAAGAAUAAGCACCGGCUAACUCCGUGCCAGCAGCCGCGGUAAUACGGAGGGUGCAAGCGUUAUCCGGAAUCAUUGGGUUUAAAGGGUCCGUAGGCGGGCAUAUAAGUCAGUGGUGAAAUGCUGUGGCUCAACCAUAGCACUGCCAUUGAUACUGUAUGUCUUGAAUUAUUGUGAAGUGGUUAGAAUAUGUAGUGUAGCGGUGAAAUGCUUAGAUAUUACAUAGAAUACCGAUUGCGAAGGCAGAUCACUAACAAUAUAUUGACGCUGAUGGACGAAAGCGUAGGUAGAGAACAGGAUUAGAUACCCUGGUAGUCUACGCCGUAAACGAUGGAUACUAGUUGUUUGGCUUUCGAGCUGAGUGACUAAGCGAAAGUGAUAAGUAUCCCACCUGGGGAGUACGUUCGCAAGAAUGAAACUCAAAUGAAUUGACGG